CCUACGGGCGGCAGCAGUGGGGGAUAUUGGACAAUGGGGGGAACCCUGAUCCAGCGACGCCGCGUGAGUGAAGAAGUAUUUCGGUAUGUAAAGCUCUGUCAGCAGGGAAGAAAGAAAUGACGGUACCUGACCAAGAAGCCCCGGCUAACUACGUGCCAGCAGCCGCGGUAAUACGGAGGGGGCAAGCGUUAUCCGGAAUUACUGGGUGUAAAGGGAGCGUAGACGGUUAAGUAAGUCUGGAGUGAAUGGCCGGGGCCCAACCCCGGGACUGCUCUGGAAACUAUUGAACUUGAGUGCAGGAGAGGUAAGCGGAAUUCCUAGUGUAGCGGUGAAAUGCGUAGAUAGUAGGAGGAACACCAGUGGCGAAGGCGGCUUACUGGACUGUAACUGACGUUGAGGCUCGAAAGCGUGGGGAGCAAACAGGAUUAGAUACCCGAGUAGUC
RNAcentral lists this ribosomal RNA (443 nucleotides) under uncultured bacterium. Its description in RNAcentral is "partial 16S ribosomal RNA". It matches the Rfam family "Bacterial small subunit ribosomal RNA", at positions 338 to 795 of the family's 1533-position model. The record is from RNAcentral.